CUGAGGAGCGUGCUGGAAGGUGGCACCGGAGCCCGGACCAUACACGACGGUGGGCCGGCUCCCGGCAAGGUCCUGCGCGAAUCCGCACUCGUAGUAAUUUGGACGUAACGAGUCCCCGCUUUUAUAUUUGGAGAAGAGCUCGAGAAAGAGCACCAGACAGAGAGAGACGGAGGGGAGGGAGAGAGUGAGCGAGAGUCUGUUGUGGUGUUCCCCCUCACGGCCACAACUGACGAGCUGAUCUCGGUGACGACAGGCAGCCAGAGCGGGAGCAGACAAUGCCGCCACCACAAACGCAAUAAUUUUCACACCGAUUCCAUGAAAUAUCCAGCGAUGGAGAAACCAGAGAAGGGGGAGCGGAGGAGGAAAGGCUGGUGCGCAUCACAAUUCCGACGAUAAUUUGCAUCUAUUAUCAGAUCUCCGUCCCAUUGGCUUCUCCGCGCACAAACAAACACGCACGGGCGUGCGCACAUUGACUGCAGUGUCCUGCUGGCGUUGGCUGACUCGCGUCGAAUGGAAAGGGAGCGAGGGGAUGGAGAAAUAUGAAAGAAGAGAGAAUGAGAAGGAGAAUGAGUGUGCGUGCAUUUGCAUGUGAGUGUGCACUAAAACAGACAUUCGAAUUUAGUCCAUUCAAACAUGUAGGUUGAAUAUAAUUUAAAUCUGUAAAAUAUCCUAUAUUAUUUGAUUAAAAUUGAGGAACAGAGGAUGAUAUUACGUCGGUUUACAACAUUUUGAUCAUGGGUAAUGGAAGAUUAAGUCACUGUAUGUGCGCUCGCUUUCAUAAAAGUUUUCACCAAAUGGCGACACGUAGAAUGCGAAACAUAAUUGAAGAGAGAUAAGAGGAUGUAUUCUAUGCAUUACAUCCUUGAGACAACCCCGUCUCCAUGAAUUGCCAAACACUUCUUUUCUUUCGCAUGUGUCAGCAAGUGUAGUUUGUGCUUUGGAGACAAACGAGCUUCAGGGUCUGGACAUAGCAUUCUGAUAAUUGUGUAAAUUCGAUCUUCAUAUACAUGCGGGAAGCGGGGCUGGGUGGGUAAUCAGCUACAGAAAAACGCUAUAAGCGGUUGAGACAACUUCAAAGAUCCAUAAAGCGAACGGGCUGCUGUUUGCUUGUUGAAGUCCUAACAUCACCGAACAAAAAAGCGGGGUUAUAAGCGCCCUUUACUUGAGGGAGGCCGUAAUUGCCCUUAACUGAGCAAGAAUACCACGGCUUUUAAUGAUGGUUCGUCAUGCAGAUGCCCACCCACCCCACCCCCGCCCAACUGUGAGCCGUGCUUCCUAACGAGGGUCAAGUUGUUAUAUGCUUUUCCUUUAGAUGAUCCGACAGGAGAACAGUCAAGCGCACUGAUUGAACCCCAACAGUAUUUAGUAAAUUUAUUCUUGAAGUCUUUGAAUCGUUCAUCAACGUCUGAAUGAGGUCCUCUUAUAGCCUCCGUGUUCUGUCAUUUCUUUUAAUUCUCAUUGUGACUUUAGAAUGUGUUGAUAUAGGUCCAAAUAAAAGUUGGAUCAUAUGUAUAUUUAUUUUGAAGAUUAUAUCGAGCUGUAAAUCACAAUAGUAUACAAUACAGUCAAAAUGGUAUACGUUCUAUUUCACAACACUGGAAAAAACAAUUUCAAUUUACUUGGUUUGAGCAUGUAUCAGUUGCACAAGCGGGGGAGAUGACUUCAGUUUACCACAUUUUCAUCUUUCGCAUCACAAAAAAUCUUAACGUAUUUCAGUGAAGGAGUAUGCAAUCUUGUCAUUAUAUUUAGACUUCCUACUUGAUUGCACUGAUAUCAACACUCCAAACAGUUAGUUCAAUCAAGUUCUUUUGGAGAACACUACUGUAACGUGCCUAAAAAAAGAGAACUAUCUACUUACCCACGAUACACAUCCGCGGUCCCUUCAAAGUAUUCGGAGAAAACAGAUAUGUUCUUUUGUUUGUUUCUUCAAUACAAUACACCAAAAAAUCAGAGGCAUGCUAUCAGUUGUACCUAAAGAAAAUAGAUAUAUUUUGAAGGAUUCUUUUUCAUGUUAGACUAAUCUACAUGUAGCCUUCCAUGCACAGUAACCUGCCCCCACAAUCCACAAAAAAGGACAACAAAUCUGGGUUGUGUACAUAUCAUGAAACAGUAUUGUGCGUUUGAACGGUCACAAUAAUCACUAUAAGGGAGGGAUGGGUCUUCUCUUAAAAAUGGUACAAGAGCGCCAUCAAGUGGAAGAUUAAUAUUUGAUCGAGUAUUUACUUAUCUUGCUUCUGUUCAAUUCCACGCAUCACGUGAACGACUCUAAAAUUGUUUACUCUGGUUGCAGACGAUUAGUAGCAGUCAUUUGGGGCUCAAGAGAAAAAAGAUGAAUCUGUCAAUCACAUUCAUGAUUGCUAAUGUAAUCACUUAAAUUGAGACUAUAAGUGUGGCGUUUAAAUAACAAAUACAAAUGUACUAACCGAAAUAAUAUUUUUAAUAAACAACAAUUAUGAUUAUUAUUAUAAUUAUCAUCACCA
Molecule: long non-coding RNA, 2480 nt
Organism: Syngnathoides biaculeatus (alligator pipefish)
Lineage: Eukaryota; Metazoa; Chordata; Actinopteri; Syngnathiformes; Syngnathidae
Exons: 3
Source: RefSeq, a predicted model, not a curated record